GAGCAUGCGGGUGCUAUACAUGCAAGUCGAGCGAACAGAUAAGGAGCUUGCUCCUUUGAAGUUAGCGGCGGACGGGUGAGUAACACGUGGGUAACCUACCUAUAAGACUGGGAUAACUUCGGGAAACCGGAGCUAAUACCGGAUAACAUUUAGAACCGCAUGGUUCUAAAGUGAAAGAUGGUUUUGCUAUCACUUAUAGAUGGACCCGCGCCGUAUUAGCUAGUUGGUAAGGUAACGGCUUACCAAGGCGACGAUACGUAGCCGACCUGAGAGGGUGAUCGGCCACACUGGAACUGAGACACGGUCCAGACUCCUACGGGAGGCAGCAGUAGGGAAUCUUCCGCAAUGGGCGAAAGCCUGACGGAGCAACGCCGCGUGAGUGAUGAAGGGUUUCGGCUCGUAAAACUCUGUUAUUAGGGAAGAACAAAUGUGUAAGUAACUGUGCACAUCUUGACGGUACCUAAUCAGAAAGCCACGGCUAACUACGUGCCAGCAGCCGCGGUAAUACGUAGGUGGCAAGCGUUAUCCGGAAUUAUUGGGCGUAAAGCGCGCGUAGGCGGUUUCUUAAGUCUGAUGUGAAAGCCCACGGCUCAACCGUGGAGGGUCAUUGGAAACUGGGAAACUUGAGUGCAGAAGAGGAAAGUGGAAUUCCAUGUGUAGCGGUGAAAUGCGCAGAGAUAUGGAGGAACACCAGUGGCGAAGGCGACUUUCUGGUCUGUAACUGACGCUGAUGUGCGAAAGCGUGGGGAUCAAACAGGAUUAGAUACCCUGGUAGUCCACGCCGUAAACGAUGAGUGCUAAGUGUUAGGGGUUUCCGCCCCUUAGUGCUGCAGCUAACGCAUUAAGCACUCCGCCUGGGGAGUACGACCGCAAGGUUGAAACUCAAGAGAAUGUAGACACGGGACA
RNAcentral lists this ribosomal RNA (906 nucleotides) under Staphylococcus xylosus. RNAcentral describes it as "bacterial SSU rRNA". It matches the Rfam family "Bacterial small subunit ribosomal RNA", at positions 33 to 927 of the family's 1533-position model. Lineage: Bacteria; Bacillati; Bacillota; Bacilli; Caryophanales; Staphylococcaceae. The record is from RNAcentral.